UUCACAGACUGGCAUCCUUCACCCCUUAAUUCACCGGGAGCUCCCAGGCUCUCCGUCUUCAUCCAAGCGACGGGCCACGUCCGUGGUGGGAGUCCUGGCCCGACGGUGUGUUGAAGUCUCAGGAGCAGGGCAGUGCCAUUCCCACCCCAGCAGCGUCGGAUCAGAACGCCCUGACUCCCAGCGACGCGCGGGCGUUUUGAUGUGGAGACAGAAGCGACAGACUUGCAAACGCGACCCGAAAAGAAGAGAAGAGCGACAGAAGUUAUUUUGCUCAUGAUCAGACGGAUCUGGCUGAUAUAUCCCCUCUGAGGUCACAAUGCUGCAGUCGGUUCCGGCUGAGGAAAGUGGGCGCCCUUUCUGCGGGGUUCCUCUGUCGACCAGACGAGGUGAAGGACACUCCACACCACCCAGAAAGCUGCUUUUCCCUUCACUGUGAUGACACCAACUGGUAUCACAUCAAUCCCAAUAGGUUUUGAUGCAUGACUUGAAAAUUAGCCCAAGAAAGGUCGCUGCCAUUAGCGCAAAGGAUAAUCCCUGUGACCCCAACAAAGGGCUUCUCAAUGCCUGAGGACUGGAUGGACCUAGUGGGUGGGCAGUGGUUCAGCUGUCUGUCAGAGCGAGAAGGAAGGAGUGUGCUACAGCAUCCACGUGUCUCCUAAUUUUGUUUUGUCUGCACCCAAACCGUGACGUGCGAUAGCCUGUAAUGGCAUGCUGUCCAAUUUACCUGCCAGAAUGUUAAUGACAGACUGCCAAAGUGCCGGUAAGUAACCAUGUGAGCCACUAACAAUCCUGUCCUCUGCUACUCGACGUUUCACGUGGAUAUCACAGUGCUGUCCGUCGCCUUCCUUCCCAUGCCCCUACCUAUGCCGUGCUUUUAAACACAGCUGUCGCAUCUCUCUGAUCCAUCGGGAUUUGCAUGCGGUUUCUAUAGAUGUACCCAAGUGUGUUGACAUGACCAUCCUUGUGUGUCUUCGCGGAAAAAAUAAAACAAAUACAAGCCUGCGGGGAUGUCA
Brienomyrus brachyistius is the source of this 1013-nucleotide long non-coding RNA. RefSeq lists it as uncharacterized. The record is from RefSeq and is a predicted model, not a curated record. The transcript has 4 exons. NCBI's taxonomy places the organism in Eukaryota, Metazoa, Chordata, Actinopteri, Osteoglossiformes, Mormyridae.